GUUUUAAUAAUUUAAAUAAAAUAUUGGUCUUGUAAAUCAAAAAUAAGUCCCAUCUUUUAAAACA
This 64-nucleotide transfer RNA is filed under the name Curculionoidea sp. 24 KM-2017. Its description in RNAcentral is "tRNA-Thr". The record is from RNAcentral. Lineage: Eukaryota; Metazoa; Arthropoda; Insecta; Coleoptera.